Notothenia coriiceps (black rockcod) is the source of this 159-nucleotide long non-coding RNA. RefSeq lists it as uncharacterized. The transcript is spliced from 2 exons. NCBI's taxonomy places the organism in Eukaryota, Metazoa, Chordata, Actinopteri, Perciformes, Nototheniidae. The record is from RefSeq and is a predicted model, not a curated record.
CAGACUCCCCUGAUGGUGGCGUCAGAGCAGGGCAAUGUGGAGAUAGUACAGGAGCUUCUGAGGAGAGGAGCCAACGUUAACUUGGACGAUGUUGACUGCUGGACGGCGUUGAUCUCGGCAGCGAAGGAGGGCCACAUCGAGGUGGUGAGAGAACUGCUG